Molecule: ribosomal RNA, 253 nt
Filed under: uncultured bacterium
Lineage: Bacteria
Description: partial 16S ribosomal RNA
Rfam family: Bacterial small subunit ribosomal RNA
Source: RNAcentral
UACGUAGGGGGCAAGCGUUGUCCGGAAUCAUUGGGCGUAAAGAGCGUGUAGGCGGCCAGAUAAGUCCGCUGUGAAAACUCGAGGCUCAACUUCGAGCUGUCGGUGGAAACUAUUUGGCUAGAGUCCGGAAGAGGAGAGUGGAAUUCUCGGUGUAGCGGUGAAAUGCGUAGAUAUCGAGAGGAACACCUGCGGCGAAGGCGGGUAGCUGGGCCGACACUGACGCUGAGGCGCGAAAGCCAGGGGAGCGAACGGG